This 299-nucleotide ribosomal RNA is filed under the name uncultured bacterium. RNAcentral describes it as "partial 16S ribosomal RNA". It matches the Rfam family "Bacterial small subunit ribosomal RNA", at positions 29 to 355 of the family's 1533-position model. The record is from RNAcentral.
AACGAACGCUGGCGGCAGGCUUAACACAUGCAAGUCGAACGAUCUCUUCGGAGAUAGUGGCAGACGGGUGAGUAACGCGUGGGAACCUACCUUAUUCUACGGAAUAACACAGAGAAAAUUUGUGCUAAUACCGUAUACGCCCUUUGGGGGGAAAAGAUUUUAUCGGAGUAAGAUGGGCCCGCGUUGGAUUAGCUAGUUGGUGGGUAAUGGCCUACAAGGCGACGAUCUAUAGCUGGUCUGAGAGGAUGAUCAGCCACACUGGACUGAGACACGGCCCAGACUCCUACGGGAGCAGCAGU